Molecule: long non-coding RNA, 11874 nt
Organism: Rattus norvegicus (Norway rat)
Lineage: Eukaryota; Metazoa; Chordata; Mammalia; Rodentia; Muridae
Source: Ensembl
CCGGGACUGGGAGCCUCCCAGGUGCUACAUCCGCAUCAUCAGCCUCAGGCCUCCCUUGGGGCCUCUCCCUUCAAACCACAGCAUCCUCAUCCCACCCCACCCCCAGGUAGGAUGCUGGUCGCUCAGCCUGGAGAGACCUUUUUAAUUUGAGGAUAAACAGACUGUCAUCCUGGCUCGGCCCUCUGUGGGCUUGCUGCUCCCCGCCCCCCUCAAUCCGCAGUGCACAGCCGCUCUGUUCUCCUGCCAACUUGGCAGCUCGUUGCUGCUGUUACUAUCAACACCUCUGAGGGAAAAAGGAGAGGAGUCGGUUCUGAUCGCCUAGUGCACUGAGCAACACAUUCAUACCGAGCCUGAGCACUCUGGAAUGUUUCCCGAGCUCCGAAGACUCCGGGUGGGGCAAGAAAGGUGGGAUCUGUGUUGCAGAGAACAGAUGGGCCGGAAAUCAGCCUGAGCUCGGAUCCGAUCAGCCCCAGUAGGAGCAGCGCUUUAGCAGAGAGACUGAAACCAGUCGAGGACACACACAAACCCGCCCCUCCUCCCCACCUCCCACCCCCGCCCCUGCUCCCCACCUCAGGGAGUACUGGGAGGGAAUAAGAAGAGCUGCUGAAGGUUGUGGCUGGAGCCUCAGAGGUACAGGACCGGAAUAUCGGUAAAUGGAUCUUGCUGUUACCUCAUCUCUUGUCACAGUCCAAAUAACAUGGAUGGCUUCAGUUCAAGAGAUGGUAGAUCAGGGUUUUGUGGUGUGGGUAGGAAAAUGCUUUUGGGAUUUUGUUUAGGGAUGUAUGAAGAACUGGGUCUUUUUCUUUCACCAUCCUUGGACUCCAUGUCUCCUUUACCAGUUCAGACCGGGUGCUAGAAUGAGCACACUUUCUUUACCGGUUGAAAGCUUCCAGGGUCAGCCUUUUCCUUUACCCAAACCCACUCAGAGCCACUCAGGCCCAGCCCUCUGACUUCCCCAAGCUGCUAGUUAGUGCCUUUCUCAGCCGUGGGUUAGGACUCCCAGGGAGGAGGGGCUGUUGGGAAGAACAAAGAAUAUCUUCAGAGACAGAAAGCCCACUCUAAAGCAAAGGCCUGCUGAUAACUCCAGUCACUCAGUCACUCCUGACAGGAUCAAGAGGUGUUCAUUGUGCUGCUUUCCCCGGAGGAAUGCCUCUCCAGCCCUCUCCCUGGUAGCUAAGGUAAAGCCUGAACUUCCUGACUUUAGUCUCAGCCACAAGGGCUGGCUUGGGACUAGCUCCUGAAUUCCAUACCAGUGGUCUGCCCAACCCACCCGAAAAUGUGGUCCUGGUUCCUAGUCGGGUGUGUGUGGGGAGGGACGAUCAUCAGCCUGUUCGCUUUUCUAUAACACAGAGAAGUCAGGCACCUCAAUGGGCUGCAGACUACAGAAUGAAGACCUAAAACUGAGGCUUGUAUACAACUGGAAUGUGCCCUCCUUUUCUAUGCUGCUCUCCCUCUACCCUCCCUAGAAGCCCUUUUUCAGAUGUGAAACUGAUACCAAGAUUAUUUCCAGCCCUGGGAAUCUGAACCCUCUCACCUUCCUGGUAAGAACUACCCAGCUACCCAAGAAAACCUUCAGACUAUCUCAGGGCCUGAGAACAGGAAAGAGGACUCAGUCAGCAGGCUGGAAUUGAAAUAAGCCAUGAGAGGCUGUGCCAUUCCGGGCUGCACCUGUGAGCAGCCCCUCCAAUGAAGCCCUGUCAGCGUUUCCAUGACAAACUCAUAUUUCCGGAUGCUUCUCUUCCAGCUUGAAGAGCUUGUCUCUCGGCGAGGCUUGAUACUGAAAGUGCAUUCAGAUUUUCACACCCCCCCCCAAAAAAAGAUUGUACACCCCAUAAAAACUUACAACCUGGGGUUGGGGAUUUAGCUCAGUGGUAGAGUGCUUACCUAGGAAGCGCAAGGCCCUGGGUUCGGUCCCCAGCUCCGAAAAAAAGAACCAAAAAAAAAAAAAAAAACAAAAAAAAAAAAAACCCUUACAUCCUCCUUGUAUGUAUUUGCUCUUUAUUUUGAGUUUGAUGGCAUAACCUUUGUUCUGGUGAAAAUAAGCAACACACACAGAGGAAGACUCGAGGAGAACCGCUAACGACUACAUGGGGCCAGCACACAGUGUGUAAGACCUCUCUUUGCAAGAGAUCCUCUGCUUCCAUUUGCUUGUCUCAAAGCCAAAAGUGAUUUCUACUUUUGAGUUUGAAGGACUCCCCAGCUCCAGGUGUCCAUUGGCCUCUAACAGAGGCUGACUCCAGAAGGUCACCAGCUCCCAGCUGGCAAUGGAUGAGUGGAAGGAUUUUGAGGUACCUCGAAGGUCAGUGGAAGGGCAGAAAGGGCCUUUCAGUAGGAGCUUUUCACCGGCUCGACGUUGCUACUCUCCAGUACAUUAGCAUCACAAGAUCGAAACAGAAAACUCGGGUAUAUCCCAAAGGUAGGACAAGUCAGCAGUCAGCAAACUCCAGCAAUUCUGGGAAAAGCUUUUCCGUCUCCCAAGUCCAUAUCUGUUCUCCUUUCCUGAACCGAUGGGACUGGAACACUAUCUUCCCGAGUGUGACACUUCACUGGAAGGGAAGGGUAGCUUUGCCUUUAAGGCAAGCGUAAAUUUCAAAAAAAAAAAAAAUACUUCCUCAAAGAGGUAAUUCGGCUAAAUUUGACAUUAUUACUUCCAUUAUGUGCUGUACUAAACCCAUGAGGUGAUAUUUCGAUCCUAGCUCUUCCCCUUGUACAUGAAUACAUUGGGUACCAAGGGAAGGAAGAAAAACUGCUGAGGACUGGGGAAAGGUAUGUCUGAAGGGGUCUGGGACAACAGAUCUGUCAGUAAUGUGCUAGCUUUGCAAGCCUGAGAACCGGUGUCUGACCCCCAGCACCCACAUAAGAGGCCUGGCACAGCAGCCACACGCUGGCGGUACUAGAGCUUUAGACUCAGAGACAGUGGGUUCCUUCCAAACCCUCCUCAGCCAGCUUGUCACAAUUAGGUCCAUGUCUGGUAAGAACCCUGUACCAAAGAGCAAGCAAGGCAGUUCCUGAAGAAUGUUUACAUGGACCUCUGGCCUCUACCUGCAUUCACGGGCACAGCCAGAGCGCGCAUGCGCACACUCACAAACCCAAAAGGAAGAGGCUGCUCAUUCUGGGCUCCGGUGAGACUCUGGCUUAGAGAAACAAGCAGCGUCUGGAAGGUAACACUGGAGAAGGAGAGAAGACGGGAGGAGGGCAGAGGCGUUGAGAAUUAAACCUGAGGCUUACUCUAAUUUUUAGGGCUAUAAAAAGGGAGAAAGUGGGUCUGGACAACUAGUCGAGAAGGAAACAGCUAGUGAGGCAGGAGGAUGACUCUAGAGUCCUGCGAGCAACUAGAGAAAAUGGAGAAGUCAAAAAGAGAGGCACAGGGUAAUAAAGAGCAAAAUCUUACUGAUGGGUCAAGCAAGAAAGGAAAAUUUCUCCAUCAAAUCUGUCAACGAGGAAGUCAUUGGCGACCUUGGAAAGCGAGGUUUUCAUGUCACAGUUAUGACAAAAGCUCGGACCGUAAUGAGAUUAGGAAGUGAAGUAGAAACGGUAUAAAUGUCUUUUCCUUUUUAAAAGUUUUAUUAGCAGGGCAGUGGUGGCACACACCUUUAAUCCCAGCACUUGGGAGGCAGAGGCAGAAGCAGGUAGAGUUUAAGGCCAGCCUGGUCUACAAAGUGAGUUGCAGGAUAGCCAGGGCUACACGGACAAAUGAUAUUUCAAAACCAACAACAACGAAGACUUAUUAUUAUCAUUUAAAAAUAUUUUUUAUCUUAUGUGUAUGAGUGUUUGGCCUGUAUGUAUGUCUGGUCACUACAUGCAUGCCUAGUGCCAACAGAACCUAGAAAAGGGCAUCAGCUCCCCUAGGAGCGGAGUUAUAGAUGAUUAUCAGCACCAUUUGUGUGCUGGGGAUUGAACCCAGGACCUCUGGAAGAGCAACCAAUGGUCUUAAUAGUUGAGUCAUCUACCUAGCACUAUUCUUACCAUUUAAGCAUGUGUGUGUGUGUGUGUGUGUGUGUGUGUGUGCGCAUUUGUGUGUGUAUUUGUAUUUGUGUGUGUGCACACGUAUCAGUGCUUUCGCGUGCUGGUGCUCCUGGAUCCCAGGGACCUCAGAUUCCCCUGGAACUGGGUGCUCAGAAUCAAACGCAGGUCAUCUGUGCCCACUCGACGUUGUGAGCCAUCUCUCCAGCACCAGCACCACGCAGUAUAAAUUUGUCGUCGUUGUUUGUUUGAAAUAGUAUCUCUCUCUCCCCUAAUUGGCCCGGAACUCACAGAGAUCCACCUGCCUCUGUCUCCCAAGUACUAAGAUUAAAGGUGAGCGUCACCAUGCCCGGCUGACGGGAGAUAUUUUUAAACUGCGGUUAAGCCUGGGUAGCAGAUAAAUGGUGACGUGAAUGAGGGGGACUGGAAGAUUUUUUUUUUUGAAGAUGAGUUUUUAUAUCCCAUUAGUAUGCUGAUGAGAACAAUCCCCUUGAGAGAGAACAUUUGAUGAUGCAGAUGAGAGGAUAAUUGCCGGAGUGAUGCCUUUAAUAAGCAAGCGAGGGAAAGAAUUCCGUACAAGAGGCGGGGCUAGCCAAGACAGACAUGUGGACAGUCCAUUCACAGCACACAGAGGGCAGGCACAGUGUGUGGGCCUGCCCAGGGGAAGUAGGUAUUUUUGGUAUUGGAUAAGGAUUAUUUUUUGACUUCUUUCUUCUAAGUGGGAAGAAAAUGAUGUCAUAAACUGGGAGCGAGAUGUGGGCCGAGCUAUGUGGAGGCCUGAGACGAGAGAUGUGUCGUGGCCGCAAUCGCAAGGAUUAAGAAAGUUGGUCCAGUAUGGCCGUGCACCCCUUCCAUCCCAGCACUUGAAGGGCAGAGGCGGGUGAUUCUUAGUAAGUUCAAGACCAGCCUGGUCUACACAGUGAGCUCCAGGACAGCCAGGGCUAGGUAGAUACCCUGUCUCAGGGGAAAAAAAAAACACCAAAAAACAAAAAAAACAAGAGAAAGAGACUGAGACUUGCCCUAGAAGACUGCAGAAUUGCUGGGCAGGAGGUAGUCUGACAGAUUGGCAGUGAUAGUUAACCAAAGAGAUGCAGUUCCUCUCCAGGAGACUUCUCCACAGGCUGCCUAGUGUGUCCUUAUGACUGGCUCCUCUGGAGCUUCAGUCCAAGAGGGAGAACUGAGCGGACCAUAUAGAUUCUUCGUUGACCUGCUCAGAACUCGAAAUUCAUUACCUGGCUACACUUUGCAUUUAGGAGCAGGUCACCAAGUCCACUCGACCUCCCAGAGAGUAGACUGUGACUUCUGAAGGGAGGACUGCCCAGGGGAUUGAGUGAGUGAGUGCUCCACCCCAGAUUCGCAUGUCAAAGCCCUAACUCACGCUGUGGCUGCACUUGGAGAGAUGCUUCUAAAGUAGUAAUCAUAUAGGCUCACGUAACCCAGGCUGGCCUCGUCUUGUGUAACUGGGAUGAGGCUGAAGUUCCUGGCCUCUUGGCUUCAGCUUCCUAGUGUGGGUUUUAGAUCUGAGCCCCCUUGACUGGUUUAUGUGCCGUGCUGGUGUUCAAAUCUAGGGCUUCACACAUUCCAGGUAAGCACUCAACCCACUGAGCCACAACUCCAGCCCCUCAACUACUGAUAAAUGGUAAAGACGCAUUCUGAGAAAUGGGUCGGUAGGCAAUUUUAUUUUAUAAACUUAACUUGCGCAAACGAAAGAGGACUGUGACGUCACCUGAUGAUAUAACCUUAGGGGACUUCCACCCUACAUUUGGCCCAUCAUUGAUAGAAAUGUCAUUUAAUCUGCAUGACUAUAAUGAAGGUUGGAUGAGAUACUGAAGGCAAGGCUCUGCUCUGACAGGAGUCAUGUCCUCUGUGUGUGUGCGCGAACACAUAUAUGUGACAUAUGUGUUGUAUGCACACUUGUAUAGGUGGCUCUAUGUACCCCUGUGCACACAUGAGAAAAGUCAGAGGAUGGUUCUGAUGUCUUUCUCUAUUACUCUUUAUCUCUGUGUUCUUGUUUGGCUAGUUGGUUUGAGUCAUUUUAUUUUACUUUAUUUUAUUUUUUGAGAGAAAGAGAGGAUUUCUCACUGAAAUGUCUCCCUUUUGGCUGUUAGCUUAUAGAUCUAGAGCUCUACCUGGACUAUGUUAGGCUUCAAACAGGAACAAAUGGCUGAGGUCCCUAUUUAACGUAUCAAAUAGGACCUGGCCACCAGGCUGUCCCAGCAUCCCUCAGUCCCGACCUGUAACAGGGCCCUCCUAGCUGGUAUACCCCAGCCCCUAACCUCAAUUCUCCAGUUCAGGGGGCUGGGCUGCUCUUCCCUAUAUAAACCAGCCAUUCUGAUUACCCAUUCUUUGUACUUUUGGGCCUCCUGGCUGCUGCAUCUUGGCCCCCUCUCUCCCCUCUGCCUCCCCCCUACCUCUCCUCAAAUGACCUAGCUCAGUCUGGUCAUUGUCCACCUUGGACUCCCUCAGAAGUCCCUGUGCCUACCUAUGCUUUCCUUUUUCUCUGUAAUAAGCCUUCUCUUCCCCCAUACCCAAGAGCAGUAGUCAUGUUUCCCUUCGUUUUCUUUCUUUUAUUCAUUCAUUUGGUGCCGAAACCCGGAAAUGGCAUAAAUGUAAAUUCCUGACCCCAGGAACUCAGCCAUUCUGAACCAAGCAGCGGACCUGACUCUGCUAAGGUGUGCAUGGUUCACUUGUUUCCACUGGCUCCUGCCGCUCACAAAAUUUGAUUCCUAGUCCUAGAGGUUGGCCGGGUGUGGUGAUGCUCGCCUUUAAUCCCAGUAUUCCGGAGGCAGACACAGGUGAAUGUCUGUGAGUUCUAGGCCUAUCUGGUCUACAGAGAGAGUUCCAGAACAGUCAAGAACACAGAACACAGAGAGACCUUAUCUUAAAAGUAAAAAACAAACCAACCAAACUUUUGAGUCCAAUUCUUCAGCUGGUGUCCCCUCUCCCUGCUCUUUCUCCUGCUGCCUCACCUCUCCUUCUUUAGUGGAUAAAUAUCACCCCUAGCUGCCAUUUUUGCCUGCUACAAUUGCGACACAGGUGUGUCAGGAAGCUCCUUUCUCCCUCACUGGGCUCCAGUCACAAGGACCAGGGACACCUCUUUGUAAUUUGAAACAUCUUUCUCCUGGACAAAUUUACUGUUCUACUUGGGGAUGCCCCGACGGAAAUUCUUGCCACCUCUGCACUUGACACUAUCCACUUCAGCUACUCCCAUCUCUUAGCUCUGGCCUGCUACGCCCAUCUGGCUCUCUUUAGCUUUCUCUUGCCUUACAACCUGCCUGCAGUGCCACUAUGCUAUCCCUUGCUCCAGCCUGCAGUGCCACUAUGCUAUCUUUUGCUCCAUGCAGUGCCACUAUGCUAUCCCUUGCUCCAGCCUGCUUGCUUGCAUGCUCUCCACUCCUUUUUGGAGCUUCUAGAACAUACCCUCCCCUGCAUGUGCCAUUCUCUCUCUCUCUCUCUCUCUCUCUCUCUCUCUCUCUCUCUCUCUCUCUCCUCUCUCUCUCUCUCUCUCCCUCCCUCCCUCCCUCCCUCCCUCCCUCCCUCCCUCCCUCCCUCCCUCCACAGGCUCAUAUUAGUGCUACAGCUUGGCCUCAGUACAGAUCAAUGACUAGCACACAACGAUCCCAAAGUCUCUGACACCUCAAGUUCUACAACUUGACAAUCUCAAAAUUCUUUGCUCUCUCUAAUUUCUCCGCUCUGCUCUUAAAAAAAAAAAUAAUCUCUCAGGACUAUGCUAUAUCUUACAAAUAUUUUGUCUUAAGAUUUGUAAAUUCGGACUGGAGAGAUGGCUCAGUGGUUAAGAGCACUGAUUGCUCUUCCAGAGGUCCCUGAGUUCAAUUCCCAGCAACCACAUGGUGGCUCACAACCAUCUGUAAUGCCCUCGUCUGAUAUGUCUGAAGACAGUAGCUACAGUGUACUCCUAUACAUACAAUAAAUAAAUUUUUUUAAAAAAACUUACAACAAAAGGCUUAUAAUUAAAACCUAAACAUAAGAAUUUUAAUUUGUCGCAACAUCUUAUAUAUGUGAUUUAAUACUAGUGUAGAAUAUACCAUAUAUGUAACAUAGAUUCAACUCUUGUUUAGGAAAAAUUGUAUUUGAAUAGCAACCAUGUAGUUCUCCUCCAUCUUGGUGAUAACCUUUACCAAGAUGUAAGCAACCAAAUGCUGGCAGCCAUUUGUGUCAUGUGACUUCACUGUCUUCAGAUGACCACAUGGUUUAAAACGAUUAUAUAUAAAACUUCUCAGGCCUACUGAGCCCCGCCUUUAUCGUUGAUCAUCUUUUCUAGACUGAGGAAAGAACAGCCCUAAACAGUCUCUAAAAUAUUUUGGAUUGGUAUGGAUUUUUGUCUGAUGACAAAAUUUAAGUUAUAGAGGUUUACUCAGAUUAACAAAAGCUGAUUUAAGAUAUAUGCCUUAACUAUUUAUGCCUUUGCUAGUUGUUCAACACCAGGCUUCUAGAGAAUUUAGAUAAGUCACAACAUACAUUUGAUAAAUAAGGGGUGCUCGCUUCGGCAGCACAUAUGCUAAAACUGGAACGAUAAAUAAGGUAUAUUUGAUAGUAAGGUUAUCAAUCUGUAAGGUCUACUUAGGUCCACAGUGGUAUCUAACUUUUUCAUCUUUGUUCACGGCAUUAAGCUUUAGCUAUUUGGAGAAACCAAGUCAUAUGAAAAAAAUCAUAAUAAUUCUAUUUGGAUGCUGAAGGUGAUCCAAUUAAAUCUUCAACUCCAACUAUUAAGACGCAAACCCAACAGGGAUAAAGCUCUAAAAUCCUAACCUUAUAUAAGCUACCAGCUUAUAAGCUAUUCAUUUAGUAACAAGCUUUAGUUAGCUCCCUAUAAGUAUACUUAAUAAAGAGGCGGCCCUCAAACACUUCAGAGAGCUUCUGAAUAUGGCAUUUAAAAUGCUUAGGCUUCUGUGGGGCUGGAGGGAUGGCUCAGUGGCUAAGAGAACUGGCUGCUCUUCCGGAGGACCAGGAUUGAAUUCCAGCACCCACCGUGGUAGCUCAAAACUGUCUGUAGCUCCAAGAUCUGACACCCUCACCUAGAUAUACAUUCAGGAAGGACACCGAUGCACAUAAAAUAAGAAAUAAAUUAUUAAAAUGUUUAAGCUUCUGUGGAGAGCUUUCGGGGCUGCUUCUAGGAAUUUGGCAGGAAUUUGACAUUGGGCUAGGACAAGGAAGUAGGCUCAAGAUGAGUACAGCUGAGGACUGUGUUCUUUGUGUCCUGAUGGGUCUGGUUAAGACUCUGAAUACAGUAAUCACAGGACCUUUGUUUAUGCUUUGUUUGUUCCUUAACUACUCUGUUUAUGCCUUAGGACUGACCAUAUUCUUUGUAUGUAUCUAGAGUGAUAUAAAAGCAGACUGGAAAAAAAUUAAACACGCUUCAGCCUCAGCACUGGGCUGGAGGCAUGUUAUAAUGUUGUCUAAUUGUCUUUUUCUUUUCUCCCUCCUCCCUGGAUACUCUGUUGACUGACUGAGCUGGCUUGGUCAAACUUCCCCUAAUAGACAGAACUGCCUCCUAGCGGGAACCCCAUGGUCUCCAAAGAAGAUAUACGGAUAUACGAGGCACAAGGACUCCACCAGGAUUGUGGUAGUGCUAACCACUGGGAUAAACUGUUCCAUGCCUCAUCUGCUGUCAGUGCUCUUCUCAAACUGUGGGCAUUUUUUUUGGGUUGAUUGCCCUAUUUUGCCUGGUCAAAGUAAGGUCAGUUCUCCCAAGUUCCCCUUUAGGAAAAAAAAAUCUCUCAGAUCUGACAGCCAAAGGCCUAUGCUCCUCUGUAUGACAGCUAAAGAUUUGGCUAUGUGAUGGCCGAAGACUAACCACUGCCCCCAACGAAACUCUGAAGACCACUGGACCCCAAGGUAACCCGUCUCAUGUAAUGGGGAAGUCUCUGUCAUUCCAGGUAUAAUCUCUCCUCAGAUCUCUGAGGAUAUGGACUGACUGUAGCUUUAACAGCAACAAGCAUACCAGCUCCUCCCCCAAGGCUUCAGCUGCCUUCCCAGUUCUCUUCCUAGGUAAAGACCAGGCCUGAGGCCUCACUCACCUAGAGUUUCUGCUGUAGAGAUUCUGGGCCUUGCUACCAGGCUCCAAAAAGAGAUAAACUCACUAAAGAGGUUUCAAAGUAACUUUUUACCAUUCCUUUCUUUUUUUCUUUUUUUUUUUUUUUUGGAGCUGGGGACCGAACCCAGGGCCUUGGGCUUGCUAGGCAAGUGCUCUACCGCUGAGCUAAAUCCCCAACCCCACCAUUCCUUUCUUUAAGGGGACUCUUUGCAAUAACUGCACUCCUGCAGUCACCCCUGGGUCCUCAUGGUAAACAACAGGAUGUAAAAGAAAAAGUGAUUCAAUCUUUAUUAAGACUUCAAAAGUUCAGAGUUUAAACAUUAAUCAGCGGAGUUCUGAUAAGCCAUCAAUCUAGCUCUGCUAAAGUACUUGUUAAUAGUAUCGUAGUCAAAUUUAAAAUGUUAGAUUUUCCUUUGGUCGUUUCCUAAGUACAGACUUAAAAAUGCUUCUCAGUUUGCCAAAGGCAUCUCUGUCCAGUCUAUAUACACAGCACUCUGGAGAGAGUGUUCAUGCUUCUAACCCAAAAUCAUUUUGGCAUUCCCACACUUUUACUUCCAUUCAGAGGCACGAGUCUACUGCUCUUUCCCACAGUGCAGAUUUCAGUACAUAUUACAAAAGUGGUGAUGCUAACAACAUCAGAACUUUUGUUUUUAUAAUCUUAAAAAAAAAAAAAUCUUGUAAGCUGCUGGACCCACCUCUCACAGGUCAAAUGGACCCCAAAUAAGUACUCGUGUCAAACAACAGCCUAAAUUUUAAUGCCCACUGCCUGUUCCUGAGGGUGGGAUCUUUCUCCCUUUUCCUGAUCUUGGAGCUCCCCUCUCCAGCUACCUUUGAGGACCCUGGGCCUCAAAGUUUCAAAUGUGCACCCAGGAUAAACUUUCCCUUCUUCUCCUAGUCUAUCUGUCCCAGUUGAUUCCAGAUCCGACUAGUCCCCAGCUCCGGGUGCUCCCCCACAACCCACAUCCCAAGCAGCUUCAAGGAGGCUAGCCCCAGGUAAUCCAGCCUCACAAGCUACUCCACAAGGUCCUGCAGAGCCUGGGCAGCCACUUUUCCCAGUCUCAGCCAGCGCACCAGCUUCUUUAGCACACCCCCACCCCUGACGCCCCGCCCUGACAAUGAUGCUCCAAAGUCAGCAGGAAAUAGUAAGAGAGGAGAUUAUGUAUGUGUCCUCCCAUACCAUUCAUCAAUUAUCAACAAAAAGGCUUAGGUUUUUGUUUGUUUUUUUUUUAAUUAACAAACAAACAAAUAGGUCUCGGGUUGGGGAUUUAGCUCAGUGGUAGAGUGCUUGCCUAGCAAGCUCAAGGCCCUGGGUUCGGUCCCCAGCUCUGAAAAAAAAGAAAAAAAAAAAAAAAGAAAGUAAAAAGAAAGUAAAAAAAGAAAUAGGUCUCAAACCUGGGACAAAUGGUGAAGGUGCCUACUAAAGGACCUGGCCUCCAGGUUCUCCCUGCAUCUCUUAGUCACUACCUGUUACAGGGCCCCUGACUAGUAUACCUCACCCGUCUAACCCUGAACUCUCCAGCCCAGGGCUCUGGGCUGUUCCUCCCUAUAAAAUCCACCUGUUUUGGUUACCUGAUUUUUUUUUAUUAAUUAAUUAUUAUUAUUUUUUUUUGUACCUUUGGGCCUCCUGACUGCUACACCUGGUUCCCUUCCCCUCCCUCUCCAUUCGCCUCCUUUCUGCCCCACCUCUCCCCUUCUUCUCUCCCCUCUCUUUUCCCCUCUCUAGUCCUCCCCACAUGACUCAGUUCAGUCUGGUUAUGUACACAGACCCUGGACUCUCCCAGAUGUCCCUGCCUCGGCCCAUACUCUUCCACCUGUCUAUAAUAAACCUUCCCCCACCAUAACUACGAACAGUCACA